GGCGAACGCUGGCGGCGUGCUUAACACAUGCAAGUCGAACGGAAAGGCCCUGCUUUUGUGGGGUGCUCGAGUGGCGAACGGGUGAGUAACACGUGAGUAACCUGCCCUUGACUUUGGGAUAACUUCAGGAAACUGGGGCUAAUACCGGAUAGGAGCUCCUGCUGCAUGGUGGGGGCUGGAAAGUUUCGGCGGGUGGGGAUGGACUCGCGGCUUAUCAGCUUGUUGGUGGGGUAGUGGCUUACCAAGGCUUUGACGGGUAGCCGGCCUGAGAGGGUGACCGGCCACAUUGGGACUGAGAUACGGCCCAGACUCCUACGGGAGGCAGCAGUGGGGAAUAUUGCACAAUGGGCGGAAGCCUGAUGCAGCAACGCCGCGUGCGGGAUGACGGCCUUCGGGUUGUAAACCGCUUUCGCCGGUGACGAAGCGUGAGUGACGGUAAUGGGUAAAGAAGCACCGGCUAACUACGUG
Molecule: ribosomal RNA, 468 nt
Filed under: uncultured bacterium
Lineage: Bacteria
Description: partial 16S ribosomal RNA
Rfam family: Bacterial small subunit ribosomal RNA
Source: RNAcentral